Molecule: long non-coding RNA, 797 nt
Filed under: Homo sapiens (human)
Lineage: Eukaryota; Metazoa; Chordata; Mammalia; Primates; Hominidae
Description: HSALNT0094949
Source: RNAcentral
GCGCACCACCGCGAUUCAUUUCCUCCUAGCACCGCGGCUGUUCCCAGUGUUUCUCCCCCUCCCCUUUACUCAUCCCCUCGCCCAACUCCGCAGUGGCGUUCGCGCCAGCCCCUUGAGAGACAUCUGAGUUCAGCCAAUCACCGUGAUCCCCUCGCACCCACUUCCGUUUUCGGCAGCUGUUGGACGGGCGCGCUCCCCGGUGCGCGCUUGCCCCGGCGCCCCCGGCGUGCAGAGCCGGCCUACCACCCCCGCGCCUUCUCCCGCCCAGGGCUUUGCCGGGGAGAGAGCAGGGGGCGCGCUGGGGGCCAUUCCCAACGGAUGCGGUCUGGGGCGCCACGCGCGGGCUUUUUGAAAACUUGACUGUUGGGGUUGGGGGCCCGGAUCUACCCGCCGCCUCUCCGCUUGUCCGCUACACCUGGCGUCCCCGCCCCACCUCCCGCCCGCACAAAGAUGGAGGGCAGAGGCCUGGUCCACGAAGGCGGUUAUUAACCGUUUACAGUGGGCCCGACGUGCGGUUAAACUAAAACUUUGCCACGUGGCCCUGCGCAAAAGCGAGCCCGAGGCGGCGGUGUGAAAGACAACAGGGAACCAAAAGAACUUCAGACAUUAGGAACCAGACGAGGCGCGACAUCCCUGCCUCCCUGCCACCCUCCCGCCCUCCUUGAAGCCCUCCCACGAUGCCCUCUCAGAGGAGGCCCUUUCAGGUCCCCUUGGCACACUCCAGCAGACAUUUUCAUUUAACCUCAGUGAAUGGUUUUUUAUGUGUAAUUUACAUCAUCUAUGUGUUGCUUUCUUUG